GUCUAUGGCCAUACUACACUGUGCUUGAUCUUGGAAGCUAAGCAGGCUGAGGCUUGGUUAGCACUUGGAUGGGAGACCACCUGGGAAUACUGGGUGUUGUAGGCU
RNAcentral lists this ribosomal RNA (105 nucleotides) under Propithecus coquereli (Coquerel's sifaka). The record is from RNAcentral. Lineage: Eukaryota; Metazoa; Chordata; Mammalia; Primates; Indriidae.